GUGGGGAAUAUUCCGCAAUGGACGAAAGUCUGACGGAGCAACGCCGCGUGAGUGAUGAAGGUUUUCGGACUGUAAAGCUCUGUUGUUUGGGACGAAAGUGCCUGUUGCGAACAGUUACGGGUAUUGACGGUACUAAACGAGGAAGCCACGGCUAACUACGUGCCAGCAGCCGCGGUAAUACGUAGGUGGCAAGCGUUGUCCGGAAUUAUUGGGCGUAAAGAGCAUGUAGGCGGGAAUCUAAGUCUGUUGUUAAAAUGCGGGGCUCAACCCCGUAGUGCGAUGGAAACUGGGUUUCUUGAGUGCAGGAGAGGAAAGGGGAAUUCCCAGUGUAGCGGUGAAAUGCGUAGAUAUUGGGAGGAACACCAGUGGCGAAGGCGCCUUUCUGGACUGUGUCUGACGCUGAGAUGCGAAAGCCAGGGUAGCGAACGGGAUUAGAAACCCUUGUAGUCC
Molecule: ribosomal RNA, 450 nt
Filed under: uncultured bacterium
Lineage: Bacteria
Description: partial 16S ribosomal RNA
Rfam family: Bacterial small subunit ribosomal RNA
Source: RNAcentral